UACGGAGGGGGCUAGCGUUGUUCGGAAUUACUGGGCGUAAAGCGCACGUAGGCGGCUUUGUAAGUUAGAGGUGAAAGCCCGGGGCUCAACUCCGGAAUUGCCUUUAAGACUGCAUCGCUUGAACGUCGGAGAGGUGAGUGGAAUUCCGAGUGUAGAGGUGAAAUUCGUAGAUAUUCGGAAGAACACCAGUGGCGAAGGCGGCCCGCUGGACCGGCAUUGACGCUGAGGUGCGAAAGCGUGGGGAGCAAACAGG
RNAcentral lists this ribosomal RNA (253 nucleotides) under uncultured bacterium. RNAcentral's name for it is "partial 16S ribosomal RNA". It matches the Rfam family "Bacterial small subunit ribosomal RNA", at positions 524 to 776 of the family's 1533-position model. The record is from RNAcentral.